UUUCUUGACUCCAAUGGCUCUAUUUUUGUCUCUAACGGCUAGAUUUUUGUUUUCACGCCAUCUAAAGCUAUAAAAUCAGGAGGAGAGCUAGGGGAGAAGGUAUGGAAGUGGGAGAGAAUAUUUAGGAAAGAGAUUUCAAAGAGAUUACAAGAAAAAUCUCCCAAAAGCACAAAAGGGUCAUUCAAAGUAAAAGAGAGAGAAGAAGAACAUCCAAGUGAAUCCCAAAGCUACCUCUCCAACUGUGUGCUGCCUCGGUGAUCCUCUACUUCAUGCAAAAUAAGAAGAGGGUCAAGUAAAGAAGAAGCCGAGUUCCUUCAUCUAUAAAUUUGUUUGAGGGCUUCUUCUCUUUACUUUACUUGUUUAUAUUUGCUAUAUUUGCUUAUUUGAGAAGCUUGUAUUUGAUUUAAAUUCUUGUUCUAAUAUCUUGUAACUUGAUUCAACAAGAAAUUGAAUCAAGGGGUUAAGGAUUGUUGGUGAGCCAAAGGAAAAACCAACGUUGUAAGGUUGUGGUUGGUGAGCCUUUGGGAAAACCAACCGGGUUGAUUGUGAACUCGGAAAACAAUCGUUGUAAGGUUGUGGUUGGU
RNAcentral lists this long non-coding RNA (584 nucleotides) under Phoenix dactylifera (date palm). Its description in RNAcentral is "long non-coding RNA (PDAC_LNC021229)". The record is from RNAcentral. Lineage: Eukaryota; Viridiplantae; Streptophyta; Magnoliopsida; Arecales; Arecaceae.